This 946-nucleotide long non-coding RNA is filed under the name Hordeum vulgare. Its description in RNAcentral is "long non-coding RNA (HVUL_LNC020291)". Lineage: Eukaryota; Viridiplantae; Streptophyta; Magnoliopsida; Poales; Poaceae. The record is from RNAcentral.
UGUCUAGCAUUGCAAGAUUCAAUUUCAAGUCAUGUCUUCACUUAAAAAACAUGAAUCCGGUUAUCAAAAGCGUUUGAAGAAACAAAAAGCCGAGGAAUUAAUUCAAUUUCGGUAUGGAAAUAUGGACAAGUUAUUUAAGUGAAGACUUUACAACCAAGAAUAGAUAUGAUUCUAUAUAUUUUUUUCAUUAUUCUGUAAGAUAUUAUGAUCUCUACAUUAUAUUAUAGUUAUAGUUAUAUAACUCUUUUAGUGAGGUAGGGCCUAUUUUACAGUUUCGCACCGGGCCUCGAAUUUCGUCGGUCCGGCCCGGCCCUGCGAUGAGGUCGUCGACCUUGGCGUUGGAGGCGUGGAUCGCCGCGGUGUGCUCCUUCAGCGUGUUGUCGACGCGUUCCACGAGGGUCUGGAUCGCCGGAUCCAUGGCGGCUAGGUGGGCGCGGGCGUGACUCUGCGAUCUGGUUGUGAUGAAUCGAUCCAGAUCGGCGGAGCGGGGGCGGAGGAGGGAUUGUCUCUGAUACAAGAUGUAAGAGUAGGUAUAGGUAGCUCCGAUUACAUGAACUAGGUGGGGAUUCGGUUACAAUCAUCAGGAUACACAAGAGGAAUGGUUCUAGGGUUCUAUCCGCCGCCGGCCUUGAUCCUGUGGAUCCUCUGCAGUCGCGCGUCGCUGCCUUUAGUAGCUCGAGGGGAAAGGCUCACGUUGUCCACGCUGGCCCGGCGACGCGUGGGUUGGGCCGUCGGUCCCUCGUGGGUCGUUGGGCCAGAGGCGAGGCUGGUGAGCCUCUGGCUGCUGGGUCCGUGCCGUCAGCGCAGCUGCUGCUCGUGUCGGGGGCGCUGACAGAUUGGUGGCUAAACGCAGAGGCAUCAUGGACAAUCAUCUCUAAAUUAGCGCUUGGAUAAUCUUGAAAGAACUUAACAAUCGUGCUUUCAAUCACAAGUCUCCUCUCCCUCC